This 742-nucleotide ribosomal RNA is filed under the name uncultured bacterium. Its description in RNAcentral is "bacterial SSU rRNA". It matches the Rfam family "Bacterial small subunit ribosomal RNA", at positions 8 to 796 of the family's 1533-position model. The record is from RNAcentral.
AGAGUUUGAUCCUGGCUCAGAACGAACGCUGGCGGCAGGCCUAACACAUGCAAGUCGAACGCCCUAGCAAUAGGGAGUGGCAGACGGGUGAGUAACGCGUGGGAACGUACCCUUCGGUCUGGAAUAACCCAGGGAAACUUGGGCUAAUACCGGAUACGUGCGAGAGCAGAAAGAUUUAUCGCCGAAGGAUCGGCCCGCGUCCGAUUAGCUAGUUGGUGAGGUAAAAGCUCACCAAGGCGACGAUCGGUAGCUGGUCUGAGAGGAUGAUCAGCCACACUGGGACUGAGACACGGCCCAGACUCCUACGGGAGGCAGCAGUGGGGAAUAUUGGACAAUGGGCGAAAGCCUGAUCCAGCCAUGCCGCGUGAGUGAUGAAGGCCCUAGGGUUGUAAAGCUCUUUCGCCAGGGACGAUAAUGACGGUACCUGGAUAAGAAGCCCCGGCUAACUUCGUGCCAGCAGCCGCGGUAAUACGAAGGGGGCUAGCGUUGUUCGGAUUUACUGGGCGUAAAGGGCAUGUAGGCGGUUCUGUAAGCCUGACGUGAAAGGCUAUGGCUCAACCAUGGCAUUGCGUUGGGAACUGCGGGACUUGAGUCACGGAGAGGGAGCUGGAAUUCCAGGUGUAGGGGUGAAAUCUGUAGAUAUCUGGAAGAACACCAGUGGCGAAGGCGAGCUCCUGGCCGAUGACUGACGCUGAGGUGCGAAAGUGUGGGGAUCAAACAGGAUUAGAUACCCUGGUAGUCC